GCCGAAGUGGCGGAAUUGGCAGACGCGCCGGACUCAAAAUCCGGUUCCCCUUAAAGGAGUAUCGGUUCGACCCCGAUCUUCGGCA
RNAcentral lists this transfer RNA (85 nucleotides) under Streptococcaceae bacterium. RNAcentral's name for it is "tRNA-Leu". It matches the Rfam family "tRNA". Rfam says of the family: Transfer RNA (tRNA) molecules are approximately 80 nucleotides in length. Their secondary structure includes four short double-helical elements and three loops (D, anti-codon, and T loops). Lineage: Bacteria; Bacillati; Bacillota; Bacilli; Lactobacillales; Streptococcaceae. The record is from RNAcentral.